GUGUGUUCACUGUGUGUGUGUUCACUGCUAUGUGUGUGUGUGUGUGUGUGUGUUCACUGCUGUGUGUGUGCACUUUGGAUAGGUUACUUAGCUGUACGUCACGUCACUUUAUUUGCAGGUGUACGACUGACCGAGCUGCUGUUAUAGAAAAUUACUCAACAUCCUUCUGACCCAUCAGAGCCCAGCAGCACUGUGGUGUAGCAAAAGUGAUUACAGGGAAACAGCAGUCUCCUUUCCUGGAAGUGAUUUUGCACUUUCAUGUCUCUUCUUCACCAUAGUAGUGUGAUGCCUCGAUUACGCACACGCACACACACACACACACACACACAUCAGAAAGCGCGUGUGUUCUCUCGACUCGGUUCCACCUGUUUAUCUGAUUAUACUCCGAAAUAAAAUCCAGCAAGUGUUAAAUUAAAACCCAUCACAUGCCUUUUCAUCUGAAGUCUCUUCACCAGAACUCUCACAUUCAUUUCAGUUCUUCAGAAAACAUACCAGACCCUGAGAGAUGCAAAAGAGAUAUCUCACAGCUGCUUUGUUCUCGAGCAGAUUUCCGUCAUUGUCCACCACACUCAGUUUCACCCCGAGGUGCUUCUCAGUAAGCACUUACGCUUUCAAGAUUAAAAGAAGAAGAAUGAGAAGAAGAAGGAAGCUUUCAAGAACUCAUUCAUGAGUCACAAGAAAUCCGUACGCCGUCAUUAAGUGCCGAACCUGGAACAAAGACCGUCUCAGUGUCUCAGAGUCUCAGAGUCGUGUUAAAGGGGAAAAACGAAGCAAGAACAUCAGCUGGAUUCAUUUUAGGAAAUGAUUUAUAUAGGGUCGAGUUGAUGGUGUCAGAAACGAGAAGAUAAAAAGUGCAAACAUUUCCAAGAAGACAGACAGACAGGCAGACAGGCAGACAGACAGACAGGCAGACAGACAGACAGACAGACAGACAGACAGACAGACAGACAGACAGACAGACAGACAGACAGAGACUGACUGACAGAUAGAUAUUUUUUUUUAAUCCAACACAACCAACAAACUUAAACUAGAAUUCUCCAGCUGUAAAGUUUAUUCUACAGCGAAUAAAUAUAGACUAUAAAAUGUAACCAUUAAAACUUCAACUAUAAAACUAUAAAAUCUACCAAAAAUCACUUAAACAACUUAAAAAAAUAUGGAAGAAUAUUCUACAACUGCUAAAAACAAAUAACUUCUACAUAUAUAUAUAUAUAAAGGUUUCCCACCAUUCAGAGAAAUGUAUAAAUUGUUAAACGAUAAUUUAAUUGUGGAUAAUCUAAUGUUUCCCUUUUUCCCCUUCCAACCCAGGAAACAUACAAAACGCCCUGUACAAAACAAACAGAUCUGUGUGAAAGAAAUCACUUCCUUCUGCGUCAAACACUAUUACCACUGAUCAGCUCCAGUUUACGGUACAGCAACACCCAAGACACAAAGCCUUAUCUCGGUCUUACUCACUUUCUGAGUAAAGCAAUUUAUUGCCACUGUGAGAGAGAGAGAGAGAGAGAGAGAGAGAGAGAGAGAGAGAGAGAGAGAGAGUGUGUGUGUGUGUGUGUGUGUGUGUGUGUGUGUGUGUGUGUGUGUGUGUGUGUUCUCCUCAACAGGCUCCGCCCACCCUCUGUUUCUUGUAAAUGCAUGUCUGAGCCAUGAAGUGAUUACGGUCACUGUAGCUCUGCCACUCAAACCCUGUUUCUGCUCAGAUGACUCAGUGUAGCACGUGUGUCAUUUCAGGAAUGCAGGUACAUCGAGAGACGUAAUCUAGAGGACAAGGAUGUAUUAAAAAAAGCAACAGAAACAAAGUCACGAUGACAUAGUGAGAACAUUCCCCUGUUCUUAGGAAACACUAGAUCCUCUUUCAGUUGAGUGACAAAAUUACUAGGAAGGGUUUUGUUUACACACCUAAUACACUGGAACCGUUUAAAGUUAGCGAUUGGGAUUUUACAUUUCCAGUCGGAUUCGUUUACUUUUGAACGCGUAGGAUUUAAACGUGAGAGAUUUUAAUCGCGAUGAUCGUGACGUGUCCGUAAAAAGAAUAAAGGUUCCACUGAUUCUCUUGUGAGGUUUCUGGCAGCACUCCUACGAGAUCCUGAAGAAUAGCUUUGUUUACAAACUGAAAGCACAGAUUUUUGUGAUCUAAACAAUGAUCUUUGUGUUGUGAAUCUAAUAUUCCCAUGUCUGUUUGUCUGUUUGUCUGUUUGUCUGGUUGUCUGUCUGUCUGUCUGUCUGUCUGUCUGUCUGUCUCUCUGUCUCUCUGUCCUUUCCCCUCCCCGUGUAGACGAGUGAUGAAUAAAACAAGCAUUAAACAAAGGCAGAUGUGUUUUACAAUGGUUUGAAAAUACAUUUAUUAUUAUUAUUAUUAAUAUUAUUAUUAUUAUAAAAAAUACUGGUAAAGAAAUAUAUCUUUUUGCAUAGCAAAAAUAGAAUCACAGGAAGAAGUCAUCUCCCUGCAUUAUAGUGUAAACAUUCAACGAUGAUGUAAACUUCCAACCGUU
This is a long non-coding RNA of Tachysurus fulvidraco (yellow catfish), 2486 nucleotides long. RefSeq lists it as uncharacterized. The record is from RefSeq and is a predicted model, not a curated record. The transcript has 2 exons. Lineage: Eukaryota; Metazoa; Chordata; Actinopteri; Siluriformes; Bagridae.